UGCAGUCGAGCGCGAAAGCACUUCGGUGUGAGUAGAGCGGCGGACGGGUGAGUAACGCGUAAGAAUCUACCUAGUAGUGGGGGACAACUCGAGGAAACUCGAGCUAAUACCGCAUACGCCCUACGGGGGAAAGCGGGGGACCUUCGGGCCUCGCGCUAUUAGAUGAGCUUGCGUUGGAUUAGCUUGUUGGUGAGGUAAUGGCUCACCAAGGCUACGAUCCAUAGCUGGUCUGAGAGGAUGAUCAGCCACACCGGGACUGAGACACGGCCCGGACUCCUACGGGAGGCAGCAGUGGGGAAUAUUGCGCAAUGGGCGGAAGCCUGACGCAGCCAUGCCGCGUGUGUGAAGAAGGCCUUAGGGUUGUAAAGCACUUUCAAUUGGGAGGAAAAGUUAACGACUAAUACUCGUUAGCCUUGACGUUACCUUUAGAAGAAGCACCGGCUAACUCCGUGCCAGCAGCCGCGGUAAUACGGAGGGUGCAAGCGUUAAUCGGAAUUACUGGGCGUAAAGCGCGCGUAGGCGGCUUUUUAAGUCGGAUGUGAAAGCCCCGGGCUCAACCUGGGAACUGCAUCCGAUACUGGAAGGCUAGAGUGCGAGAGAGGGAGGUAGAAUUCCAUGUGUAGCGGUG
Molecule: ribosomal RNA, 628 nt
Filed under: uncultured bacterium
Lineage: Bacteria
Description: bacterial SSU rRNA
Rfam family: Bacterial small subunit ribosomal RNA
Source: RNAcentral